GAUGAACGCUGGCGGCGUGCCUAAUACAUGCAAGUCGAGCGAACAGACGAGGAGCUUGCUCCUCUGACGUUAGCGGCGGACGGGUGAGUAACACGUGGAUAACCUACCUAUAAGACUGGGAUAACUUCGGGAAACCGGAGCUAAUACCGGAUAAUAUAUUGAACCGCAUGGUUCAAUAGUGAAAGACGGUUUUGCUGUCACUUAUAGAUGGAUCCGCGCCGCAUUAGCUAGUUGGUAAGGUAACGGCUUACCAAGGCAACGAUGCGUAGCCGACCUGAGAGGGUGAUCGGCCACACUGGAACUGAGACACGGUCCAGACUCCUACGGGAGGCAGCAGUAGGGAAUCUUCCGCAAUGGGCGAAAGCCUGACAGAGCAACGCCGCGUGAGUGAUGAAGGUCUUCGGAUCGUAAAACUCUGUUAUUAGGGAAGAACAAAUGUGUAAGUAACUAUGCACGUUUUGACGGUACCUAAUCAGAAAGCCACGGCUAACUACGUG
RNAcentral lists this ribosomal RNA (497 nucleotides) under uncultured bacterium. RNAcentral describes it as "partial 16S ribosomal RNA". It matches the Rfam family "Bacterial small subunit ribosomal RNA", at positions 28 to 507 of the family's 1533-position model. The record is from RNAcentral.